UUAUGACCAUAUCACGUUGAAACACCGGUUCUCGAACGUUCACCGAAUCUAAGCAACGUCGAGCCUGGUAAUUACGUAGAUGGGUGACCGCUUGGGAAUACCA
This 103-nucleotide ribosomal RNA is filed under the name Acanthosepion pharaonis. The record is from RNAcentral. Lineage: Eukaryota; Metazoa; Mollusca; Cephalopoda; Sepiida; Sepiidae.